RNAcentral lists this ribosomal RNA (451 nucleotides) under uncultured bacterium. RNAcentral describes it as "partial 16S ribosomal RNA". It matches the Rfam family "Bacterial small subunit ribosomal RNA", at positions 354 to 796 of the family's 1533-position model. The record is from RNAcentral.
GAGGGGAAUAUUGGACAAUGGGGGGAACCCUGAUCCAGCCAUGCCGCGUGUGUGAAGAAGGCCUUUUGGUUGUAAAGCACUUUAAGCGAGGAGGAGGCUACCGAGAUUAAUACUCUUGGAUAGUGGACGUUACUCGCAGAAUAAGCACCGGCUAACUCUGUGCCAGCAGCCGCGGUAAUACAGAGGGUGCAAGCGUUAAUCGGAUUUACGUGGCGUAAAGCGCGCGUAGGUGGCCAAUUAAGUCAAAUGUGAAAUCCCCGAGCUUAACUUGGGAAUUGCAUUCGAUACUGGUUGGCUAGAGUAUGGGAGAGGAUGGUAGAAUUCCAGGUGUAGCGGUGAAAUGCGUAGAGAUCUGGAGGAAUACCGAUGGCGAAGGCAGCCAUCUGGCCUAAUACUGACACUGAGGUGCGAAAGCAUGGGGAGCAAACAGGAUUAGAAACCCUAGUAGUCC